UGCUGUAAAAAGAACCCGUAUAGACAGAACUUAGAAACAAACCCUGCCAUCCAGAGAGAAUACCCAUGCAUAUACAUGGUACCAUCAGAAUAUACCUACAAUCCAUUUAAACUUGCAUAUAGUGUCUAUCACAAAAAAAAGCAAAGAACACACAACACAAUUGUCAUAGCUCACAUAUACCCAAACAUCCAGAAUACACACAUACACUGAAUUGCUGAAAUCAGAACUCUCAGGCACUGUUCUAUCAUACAAAUAUAGAAGCAGAACCUCUGUAGACAAAGAAUCAACACUCAGUAAACACAGUGAAAAAACAGAGG
This 317-nucleotide long non-coding RNA is filed under the name Lupinus angustifolius (narrow-leaved blue lupine). RNAcentral describes it as "long non-coding RNA (LANG_LNC000253)". Lineage: Eukaryota; Viridiplantae; Streptophyta; Magnoliopsida; Fabales; Fabaceae. The record is from RNAcentral.